UUGAUCCAGAGCAGAUUUUCUCUUCUGAAUACUCUGAGCUUGUAGACUAGAUCAUAUGCCAACUCUGAUCCCCUGUGAUUGGCGUCCGCCUUUUAGAGGAUUUGCUGAUCAUCAGAACAAUUUUGCAAUGUGUAUACAUGAGAGGAACUGUAAAAAAAAAUACACUCCAUUGAGAAACAAGCAUGGUUAUUCGCCCACUUCCAGUUCUUGGUUCCAUUGUUUAUGCAAUUAUGCACGCAUUCAUUGCAUUGAUACAAUCACCUAUGCUUGGGGUGGUUCAUUCAAAAUAAUCUUUAAGACCUGGCUCAGAAUAUGCUUCUCAUUGUGGAGUAUUAUAGAGGUAGUUAGGACAGACUAUUUAAAAUGUUCUGCUACUUGACGGAUAUGUUAUUCAGAUGCUAUGUGUCACAGCAGAAACAAGCAGAAGAUCCUUAUAUAGUGGAUCUUGCUGCCAUAUCUCAAACAAGCCAGCUCCAACACAUGAGCUUGAGCAAGUAAGCAGCAUGAAUUGUACAUAAUGAAACGUGUACUGUAUUUAACAACUACACAAAAACUAGAUGACACAUUUGUCACCAAUAAUACUUGGCUAGCUCUGCACUAAAAUAAUCUGUAAGCAUGCAACUAUGUCAAAUCCACCAAUAGAGUGAACUAACCUGCCAGUUCUUGUCGGCAAUAGUUGGAGAAUGAUAACGUGAUAAUUCAUUGGGAGGAGAGUUCGCGGCAGUGCCUCUAAAAACUGAGCUGUGCAUGAG
RNAcentral lists this long non-coding RNA (752 nucleotides) under Brachypodium distachyon (stiff brome). RNAcentral describes it as "long non-coding RNA (BDIS_LNC003800)". Lineage: Eukaryota; Viridiplantae; Streptophyta; Magnoliopsida; Poales; Poaceae. The record is from RNAcentral.